GGAUGAUAUAAACCACAAAAGUUCUAGCGUAUGGGAUUCCCCCAUCAGAUUCCUGCAUUUUCCUUAGAAACCAACAACUGAUCAAUAGUUAUUUGGCUCCUAUAGCGAACCAGUUAAUGAAGCCAACGGUACUGAAACGACUGGUGGAUUGUUUCAUAAUGAUUCUGAACGUGAAAGAUAUUAAAGAAGCUUCGACAAGAUUAAGGAUUGGAUUGAUUGUUCUUUGUUGAACAAGGUAUGAACCCCUGAUGGAAUUGCAUGAUCAGCUUGUGAAGCACUUGCUGCUGAGGGACCAAAAACAAGUUCUCAACUUCUUCAAUUAUUCCAUUUCAAUAUAUAGCAGAAAGAACUUCCUGUUUCUACUGUAGAUACAGGAAAAGAAAAGGUGUUCUGAGUUAUGAUCAUCUUGCAGUCAGUAAGAUCACAUGAACCACAUUCAAAAGUGAGAGAUAUUUCAGCACCAGACUCUGAGCUAUGUCAGUAUUAGAACUGCU
RNAcentral lists this unclassified non-coding RNA (494 nucleotides) under Hevea brasiliensis (rubber tree). Lineage: Eukaryota; Viridiplantae; Streptophyta; Magnoliopsida; Malpighiales; Euphorbiaceae. The record is from RNAcentral.